ACUAGCGUAUAUUAAAGUUGUUGCGGUUGAAACGCUCGUAGUUUGACUUCUGCUCCGGACCGGCGGUCCGCCUUAGCGGCGGCUACUGCCGGGUUCCGAGCUGUGUCCCCGCCGGCGCGCACGGGGUUUUUUAUGCCCUUAACCGGGUGUCCCCCUGUGGCCGGCACGUUUACUUUGAAAAAAUUAGAGUGCUCAGAGCAGGCUGGUCUUUGCUUACAGCCCGAAUGGUCGUGCAUGGAAUGAUGGAACAGGACCUCGGUUCUAUUUUGUCGGUUUUUCGGAACCCGAGGUAAUGAUUAAUAGAAGCAGACGGGGGCAUUCGUACUGCGACGCUAGAGGUGAAAUUCUUAGACCGUCGCAUGACGACCUACUGCGAAAGCAUA
RNAcentral lists this ribosomal RNA (383 nucleotides) under Penaeus indicus. Its description in RNAcentral is "SSU rRNA". It matches the Rfam family "Eukaryotic small subunit ribosomal RNA", at positions 593 to 955 of the family's 1831-position model. Lineage: Eukaryota; Metazoa; Arthropoda; Malacostraca; Decapoda; Penaeidae. The record is from RNAcentral.